RNAcentral lists this ribosomal RNA (433 nucleotides) under uncultured bacterium. RNAcentral's name for it is "partial 16S ribosomal RNA". It matches the Rfam family "Bacterial small subunit ribosomal RNA", at positions 29 to 507 of the family's 1533-position model. The record is from RNAcentral.
AACGAACGCUGGCGGCAUGCCUAACACAUGCAAGUCGAACGAGACCUUCGGGUCUAGUGGCGCACGGGUGCGUCACGCGUGGGAACCUGCCCUUAGGUUCGGAAUAACUCCCCGACAGGGGUGCUAAUACCGGAUAAUGUCUUCGGACUAAAGAUUUAUCGCCAUUGGAUGGGCCCGCGUUGGAUUAGCUAGUUGGUAGGGUAAAAGCCUACCAAGGCGCCGAUCCAUAGCUGGUCUGAGAGGAUGAUCAGCCACACUGGGACUGAGACACGGCCCAGACUCCUACGGGAGGCAGCAGUGGGGAAUAUUGGACAAUGGGCGAAAGCCUAAUCCAGCAAUGCCGCGUGAGUGAUGAAGGCCUUAGGGUUGUAAAGCUCUUUUACCCGGGAUGAUAAUGACAGUACCGGGAGAAUAAGCACCGGCUAACUCCGUG